CCCUUAGACGUUCUGGCCGCACGCGCGCUACACUGACCAGUGCAACAAGCAUCCGUCCUUGGCCGACAGGCCCGGGCAAUCUUUGAACGCUGGUCGUGAUGGGGAUAGACUUUUGCAAUUUUUGGUCUUCAACGAGGAAUUCCUAGUAAACGCAAGUCAUCAACUUGCAUUGAUUACGUCCCUGCCCUUUGUACACACCGCCCGUCGCACCUACCGAUUGAAUGGUCCGGUGAAGCCUCCGGAUUGGCGCGCACCUCGGUGCCGCCGAGAAGUUGGCUAAACCUUACCAUUUAGAGGAAGGUGAAGUCGUAACA
RNAcentral lists this ribosomal RNA (314 nucleotides) under uncultured eukaryote. RNAcentral describes it as "partial 18S ribosomal RNA". It matches the Rfam family "Eukaryotic small subunit ribosomal RNA", at positions 1470 to 1796 of the family's 1831-position model. The record is from RNAcentral.